Molecule: ribosomal RNA, 430 nt
Filed under: uncultured bacterium
Lineage: Bacteria
Description: partial 16S ribosomal RNA
Rfam family: Bacterial small subunit ribosomal RNA
Source: RNAcentral
ACGAACGCUGGCGGCAGGCUUAACACAUGCAAGUCGAGCGCCCCGCAAGGGGAGCGGCCGACGGGUGAGUAACGCGUGGGAACGUACCUUUUGGUUCGGAACAACUCCGGGAAACUGGAGCUAAUACCGGAUAAGCCCUAACGGGGAAAGAUUUAUCGCCGAAAGAUCGGCCCGCGUCUGAUUAGCUAGUUGGUGAGGUAACGGCUCACCAAGGCGACGAUCAGUAGCUGGUCUGAGAGGAUGAUCAGCCACACUGGGACUGAGACACGGCCCAGACUCCUACGGGAGGCAGCAGUGGGGAAUAUUGGACAAUGGGCGCAAGCCUGAUCCAGCCAUGCCGCGUGAGUGAUGAAGGCCUUAGGGUUGUAAAGCUCUUUUGUCCGGGAAGAUAAUGACUGUACCGGAAGAAUAAGCCCCGGCUAACUUCGUG